This 512-nucleotide ribosomal RNA is filed under the name uncultured bacterium. RNAcentral describes it as "partial 16S ribosomal RNA". It matches the Rfam family "Bacterial small subunit ribosomal RNA", at positions 28 to 523 of the family's 1533-position model. The record is from RNAcentral.
GACGAACGCUGGCGGCGUGCCUAAUACAUGCAAGUCGAGCGGACAGAAGGGAGCUUGCUCCCGGAAGUCAGCGGCGGACGGGUGAGUAACACGUGGGCAACCUGCCUGUAAGACUGGGAUAACUUCGGGAAACCGGAGCUAAUACCGGAUAGGUUCUUCCUCCGCAUGGGGGAAGAUGGAAAGACGGUUUCGGCUGUCACUUACAGAUGGGCCCGCGGCGCAUUAGCUAGUUGGUGGGGUAAUGGCCCACCAAGGCGACGAUGCGUAGCCGAACUGAGAGGGAGAUCGGCCACACGGGGUCUGAGACACGGCCCAGACUCCUACGGGAGGCAGCAGUAGGGAAUCUUCCGCAAUGGACGAAAGUCUGACGGGGCAACGCCGCGUGAGCGAAGAAGGCCUUCGGGUCGUAAAGCUCUGUUGUUAGGGAAGAACAAGUGCCAGAGUAACUGCUGGCACCUUGACGGUACCUGACCAGAAAGCCACGGCUAACUACGUGCCAGCAGCCGCGGUAA